AUUAGCAUAAUUUAUUUAAGUUAAGAGCCGCUUGUGGGAGGUGAGUGUCUUGUAUCCCGCAAGUGACGUCAUGUCACCUGCUGCUGCUUCGUGACGUCGCGAGGUAUCAGGAAUCUGCGCUACGCGCGUGAACUGAAAUCCGACGCCACGCUCGCGUUGAGCUGCCGAAGCGACCUGCCCACAACAACAAGCUGUCGCUUCCUCUGCAGAAUUGGUCUGAUGGAGCAAAGGCACUCGGCGCAGGUCGGUGCAAAAAGGCAUCAAUGCGACCGGUGUACAUACAGCACAGAUCGUCCUGAACAUUUGACACAGCACCAGAGAACUCACUCAGGAGAGAAACCCUUCAAGUGCAGUGUGUGUGGGAAGGCGUUUGCACAAUCAUCUGCUCUUGUAGCACACCAGAGAAUACACACGGGAGAGAAACCCUUCAAGUGCAGUGUGUGUGGGAAGGCGUUUGCACAGUCAUCUACUCUGGUAACACACCAGAGAACUCACUCGGGAGAAAAACCCUUCAGGUGCAGUGUGUGUGGGAAGGCAUUUUCACAUCCAUCUGCUUUUAAAAAACACCAAAGAACACACACAGGAGAGAAACCCUUCAAGUGCACUUUGUGCAGGAAGGCGUUUUCAGAUUCAUAUAAUCUUGUAACACAUCAGAAAACACACACAGGAGAGAAACCCUUCAAGUGCAG
This is a non-coding RNA of Petromyzon marinus (sea lamprey), 689 nucleotides long. NCBI's taxonomy places the organism in Eukaryota, Metazoa, Chordata, Hyperoartia, Petromyzontiformes, Petromyzontidae. The record is from RefSeq and is a predicted model, not a curated record.